GCCUGGGGAGUACGGCCGCAAGGCUGGAAACUCAAAAGGAAUUGACGGGGGCCCGCACAAAGCGGUGGAGCAUGUGGUUUUAAUUCGAAGCUACGCGAAGAACCUUACCAGGUCUUGACAUACUAUGCAAAUCUAAGAGAUUAGACGUUCCCUUCGGGGACAUGGAUACAGGUGGUGCAUGGUUGUCGUCAGCUCGUGUCGUGAGAUGUUGGGUUAAGUCCCGCAACGAGCGCAACCCUUAUUAUCAGUUGCCAGCAUUAAGUUGGGCACUCUGGUGAGACUGCCGGUGACAAACCGGAGGAAGGUGGGGAUGACGUCAAAUCAUCAUGCCCCUUAUGACCUGGGCUACACACGUGCUACAAUGGAUGGUACAACGAGUUGCGAACUCGCGAGAGUAAGCUAAUCUCUUAAAGCCAUUCUCAGUUCGGAUUGUAGGCUGCAACUCGCCUACAUGAAGUCGGAAUCGCUAGUAAUCGCGGAUCAGCAUGCCGCGGUGAAAUAACG
Molecule: ribosomal RNA, 504 nt
Filed under: Lactiplantibacillus plantarum
Lineage: Bacteria; Bacillati; Bacillota; Bacilli; Lactobacillales; Lactobacillaceae
Description: bacterial SSU rRNA
Rfam family: Bacterial small subunit ribosomal RNA
Source: RNAcentral